AGACUGCUCGGGGUUAGGCUGGGCAUCGGUCAGCAAGUGGAAAUCUAUAAAAGCAGAGAUGAGUUUGAGCUUGCAGCCUCUGCCUGGGAAGUUAAUUUUGCCUACAUAUACUGAGGCAGGAAGAAGGAGACGGAGGCAUGAGAAGGGGCAAGAAAGACAGACACACAGUCUGCUGGAACAAUAUUAAUCGGUUGGAGACUCUCAUCUGAGAAAGAACAUUAUAGAUUCUGGACCGCUUAUACUGUAAAAUAGAUCUAGCUGUUUAGCUAAUUGGUUAUUAGUACAACCAGCACCAUGAAGACAACUAAAAUGAUGAUGAGACUGUAGAACCAGACAUUAACAAGUAAAAUCAAAGUUUGACUCCUACUGCCUUUGCUGUCCAUUUAAGGUUGAGUGCAUUGAAUUCUGGUGAAUGUUUGAAGAUCAAGGGCUUGAAUUGUUCCUCUGCCAGGCUGGAUAUCAGGAAAAGGCUUUUCUCCAAGAAGGUGGUCAGGUACUGGAACAGAUUCCCCAGGGAAGUUGUCGCUGCAGCAAGCCUGCCAAAGUUCAAGAAGUGUUUGGACAAUGCUCUCUGAUACAGGGUCUGAUUUUUUUUUUUUUUUUUUUUUGGGGGGGGGUCCUUUGGGGACCCAAGAGUUAGACUCAGUGAUUCUUGUGAGUCCCAACCAACUCACAAGUCUAUUAUUCUAUGAUUCAAUAUAUAUAUAUACAGAGAAAAUUUAUAAAUAUGUAUGUAUACAUUUUUCUGUUCUCGUGUACCUCCAAAACAGUACCUGUAGCAACACCUCCAAAGUUUUCCUAAGUCACUGAGGCAAAACCCUGCACCAGAAAUCUGUCAGAAAUGAGCUAAGAGAUUUGUGCCAAUACACAGAGCAUGGGUCAGAUUUCUACGAGCUGAUGAGUACCCACUGCCAAAAACUGUGUGCCCUUGAGUUGGAGAAGAUCCAGAGUAAUUCAAUUGAUUUAAUUGUGUUACUUCAAAUUCACCAUAGAUCUGACCUCAUCUCUGUGGCCACAGUAUGGAAAUACAUCAUCAGACUUUCUGGGGUAAAGAUUGUUCCAUCCUCUUACCUGCCGUCAGUUUCCUAUACUGUCUUGAUUAGUUUGCAGAUACUUGUUUUUGCACAUGCAGCUUUUCUAAUUAAGAGCAAGAUUGUGGCUAAAUGCAGUAAAGUAUAUACUGCUUAAAACAUAUGGUUAUUUCUGUUGCCUAAGGGCAAUACUUGAUAUGGCUGAUAGCACUGAUAUCAUGAACAGAUAUUAUUACCACUAUAUUUAGAUGAUGGAUUUUUAAAAUGUUCAAGGUGAAUUCAGUGUUAUUUAAAAUGAAAUAUUUUUUUCUUAAUACAACUGCAGUUAUUGCAUGUAGCUAAUACAUAUAAGUUUUGCCUUUUGCCUAGAACAUCAUUUUAUUAGAGAAACUACAUUUGUUAUGAUAGGUAGUUGCACUGGCAUGUCUUAAUCACCUAUGCCUCUGCUUCCCAUUCCUGUGAUUCUUGUUAAAAUCUCUCUACAAGAACUCACUGGAAGUAAUGUUAGCUAAUGGUGAGUUAAACUGACCAAAAGCUGGAGUACCUCUAAAAGAUCUUCAGUGCUGUUCAUUCUUUAUGCCAAUAGACUCUGUCACUAUUCCAUUUCCCUUUUAAGGUCUCUAGACUAUUAAAUUUGCUAAAGAAAAUAUUAUAACCUCACCUUCUUUCUUCUAUUCUCUCAAAGAUUUCUCAAAUUUACAGAUAAAAUCUCUGGGACUUAGUUGAUUUAAUAAUAAUAAUAAUAAUAAUAAUAAUAAUAAUAAUAAUAAUAAAAUAAUAAACAGUU
Molecule: long non-coding RNA, 1818 nt
Organism: Anas platyrhynchos (mallard)
Lineage: Eukaryota; Metazoa; Chordata; Aves; Anseriformes; Anatidae
Source: RefSeq, a predicted model, not a curated record